Molecule: ribosomal RNA, 406 nt
Filed under: uncultured bacterium
Lineage: Bacteria
Description: partial 16S ribosomal RNA
Rfam family: Bacterial small subunit ribosomal RNA
Source: RNAcentral
AUUGAACGCUAGCGGGAGGCUUUACACAUGCAAGUCGAGCGAGUGGCGGACGGGUGAGUAAUGUCUGGGAAACUGCCCGAUGGAGGGGGAUAACUACUGGAAACGGUAGCUAAUACCGCAUACUAUCGGAUGUGCCCAGAUGGGAUUAGCUUGUAGGUGAGGUAAUGGCUCACCUAGGCGACGAUCCCUAGCUGGUCUGAGAGGAUGACCAGCCACACUGGGACUGAGACACGGUCCAGACUCCUACGGGAGGCAGCAGUGGGGAAUAUUGCACAAUGGGCGCAAGCCUGAUGCAGCCAUGCCGCGUGUAUGAAGAAGGCCUUCGGGUUGUAAAGUACUUUCAGCGGGGAGGCGUUACCCGCAGAAGAAGCACCGGCUAACUCCGUGCCAGCAGCCGCGGUAAUAC